AAAAAAAAAAAGAACAGAGGAUUGACGGGAGGAAGAAGACUCCCGUUGAGAGUCUUCUUCCAACCCCAAUGAGUAGAUUUAAUCUAAGCCAAACUCCUCCUCUGGUCCUCUUUAAAGAGAGGCCAACCCUUCCCUUCAAACCCCAUGAGCUCCGGCUGCCUUCUGUCCCCUUCUUCUCUUGAGAAAUUUUCACCGAGUUCACCAAAAUCAAGACCAUUGAUCAUCGAAAAAAAAGGUAAGAACUUUUUCCAAUCCUUCUCCUCAUCUUCCAAAGUCUAUAGGUGCUAGGACUUUGAUCGACAAUCAUCGGACUUUGGCCAAAUA
RNAcentral lists this long non-coding RNA (324 nucleotides) under Elaeis guineensis (African oil palm). RNAcentral describes it as "long non-coding RNA (EGUI_LNC070415)". Lineage: Eukaryota; Viridiplantae; Streptophyta; Magnoliopsida; Arecales; Arecaceae. The record is from RNAcentral.